GGGGCUGUAGCUCAACUGGGAGAGCGCCAGAAUGGCAUUCUGGAGGUCGUGGGUUCGAGCCCCAUCAGCUCCACCA
Molecule: transfer RNA, 76 nt
Filed under: Myxococcales bacterium
Lineage: Bacteria; Pseudomonadati; Myxococcota; Myxococcia; Myxococcales
Description: tRNA-Ala
Rfam family: tRNA
About the family: Transfer RNA (tRNA) molecules are approximately 80 nucleotides in length. Their secondary structure includes four short double-helical elements and three loops (D, anti-codon, and T loops).
Source: RNAcentral